CUACGGGUCGCACCAGUGGGGAAUAUUGCACAAUGGGCGCAAGCCUGAUGCAGCCAUGCCGCGUGUAUGAAGAAGGCCUUCGGGUUGUAAAGUACUUUCAGCGGGGAGGAAGGGAGUAAAGUUAAUACCUUUGCUCAUUGACGUUACCCGCGGAAGAAGCACCGGCUAACUCCGUGCCAGCAGCCGCGGUAAUACGGAGGGUGCAAGCGUUAAUCGGAAUUACUGGGCGUAAAGCGCACGCAGGCGGUUUGUUAAGUCAGAUGUGAAAUCCCCGGGCUCAACCUGGGAACUGCGUCUGAUACUGGCAAGCUUGAGUCUCGUAGAGGGGGGUAGAAUUCCAGGUGUAGCGGUGAUAUGCGUAGAGAUCUGGAGGAAUACCGGUGGCGAAGGCGGCCCCCUGGACGAAGACUGACGCUCAGGUGCGAAAGCGUGGGGAGCAAACAGGAUUAGAUACCCGAGUAGUC
This 464-nucleotide ribosomal RNA is filed under the name uncultured bacterium. Its description in RNAcentral is "partial 16S ribosomal RNA". It matches the Rfam family "Bacterial small subunit ribosomal RNA", at positions 339 to 795 of the family's 1533-position model. The record is from RNAcentral.